AGGACGAACGCUGGCGGCGUGCUUAACACAUGCAAGUCGAGCGGAAAGGCCCUUCGGGGUACUCGAGCGGCGAACGGGUGAGUAACACGUGAGCAACCUGCCCCUGGCUCUGGGAUAGCCUCCGGAAACGGGGAUUAAUACCGGACAUUCUCCGCCUUCCGCAUGGUUGGCGGUGGAAAGUUUUUUUCGGCCGGGGAGGGGCUCGCGGCCUAUCAGCUUGUUGGCGGGGUAACGGCCCACCAAGGCGACGACGGGUAGCC
RNAcentral lists this ribosomal RNA (260 nucleotides) under uncultured bacterium. RNAcentral describes it as "partial small subunit ribosomal RNA". It matches the Rfam family "Bacterial small subunit ribosomal RNA", at positions 26 to 288 of the family's 1533-position model. The record is from RNAcentral.